CCUCCUCUCAUUCGUGUUCGAAGCCUCAAUCCAAUCCCCAGAUUUUCGUACCAGGCUCUGAAAAUCGAAAGCUCUGCAGGUUCUAUCCUAUGAUAAACUCCUUGAGCAACUUGAUCUUUCAAAUGGCAUAAUCAAAGGGAAGUUAGAUCAUUUGAAAAGAUCUGUUGAGGUUCAGUUUGCAGCUGGGAGGGAUCUGAAACCUGGACAGCUUGGGAAUAUAAUAGAGACCUUAACGGAUUGGUUUGUAUCCUAUUUAGUCAUUGGUCCUAUGUGUUAGAUUCGAUCUUCCAAAAAACUGUCUUGCAUCUCUCUCUCUCUCUCUCUGUAUUGAUGAAACUUGGGUUGUUGGACUACAUCUAUUCCAAAUGGUGCCUUUUCUUGAUUCUAACUGCUUACAAAACGUAUGAUUUUAAAGACAGUGUCCCUUUAUUUUUUGUAUGAUUCUAUCGGUUCUUCGAAAUCCAGAUUGGAAUUUUCCUAAACCACCACCGGGAAAAUAUUAUGUGGUAGAUUCGGGAUACCCUCAAAUGAGUGGGUUUUUGGGACCUUACAAAGGUCCAAGACAACAUUUUCAAGAAUAUCGUAGGCAAGAACCAAGAAAUGAAAAGGAGGUAUUUAACCAAGCACACUCUUCUCUUAGAAGCGUUAUAGAACGCACAUUUGGAGUUUGGAAAAAAAAGUGGAAGAUUUUAAAGGACAUGCCACCAUGACACUUCAUAAUUAUAGAUUGUCAUUGCCACCAUGACACUUCAUAAUUAUAUACGGAGACAUGCACAUCGUGAUAGGCAUUUUGUUCACAGUGAAGAAAGAGAAGGUGAUGGGUCAAGUCAUGGGAUAGAGAUGGAUGAUGAUGUAGAAGAAGAAUAUCAUGGUCAUGGUGCACAAGAAAUGGAAAUGAUAAGAAAUAGCAUUACUCAAAGUUUGAUGAGUGCACGAACUUGAACAUUUGAAUGUGUUAUGAAAUUUUUUGUGG
Long non-coding RNA from Rosa chinensis, 973 nucleotides. RefSeq lists it as uncharacterized. The record is from RefSeq and is a predicted model, not a curated record. The transcript has 5 exons. Lineage: Eukaryota; Viridiplantae; Streptophyta; Magnoliopsida; Rosales; Rosaceae.